Molecule: ribosomal RNA, 484 nt
Filed under: uncultured bacterium
Lineage: Bacteria
Description: partial 16S ribosomal RNA
Rfam family: Bacterial small subunit ribosomal RNA
Source: RNAcentral
AUUGAACGCUGGCGGCAGGCCUAACACAUGCAAGUCGAGCGGAUGAAGGGAGCUUGCUCCUGGAUUCAGCGGCGGACGGGUGAGUAAUGCCUAGGAAUCUGCCUGGUAGUGGGGGAUAACGUCCGGAAACGGGCGCUAAUACCGCAUACGUCCUGAGGGAGAAAGUGGGGGAUCUUCGGACCUCACGCUAUCAGAUGAGCCUAGGCCGGAUUAGCUAGUUGGUGGGGUAAAGGCCUACCAAGGCGACGAUCCGUAACUGGUCUGAGAGGAUGAUCAGUCACACUGGAGCUGAGACAGGGUCCAGACUCCUACGGGAGGCAGCAGCGGGGAAUAUUGGACAAUGGGCGAAAGCCUGAUCCAGCCAUGCCGCGUGUGUGAAGAAGGUCUUCGGAUUGUAAAGCACUUUAAGUUGGGAGGAAGGGCAGUAAGUUAAUACCUUGCUGUUUUGACGUUACCAACAGAAGAAGCACCGGCUAACUACGUG